CCAGAGAUACACUGGCGACGCACCAUCGUGACGCACACUGGCGGUGUACCAACGUUCCUCCCUCUUCGUCACCGGCGAAAACCAGGGACCAUCUUCCUAACCUAACAGUUUGUAGAAGCUGAAAAAAUGGAGUCGAAGUACAUCAGAACUUUUGUGCACAUGUUGGUGGUGGUGGCGGCACUGAGUGGAGGUGGAUUUGGAUGGUAGGUUUAGAGAGAGAAAGAGAAAUUACCAAUCUACCCUCAUGUGCAAAGCACAUGCCAACUUAA
This 269-nucleotide long non-coding RNA is filed under the name Helianthus annuus (common sunflower). RNAcentral describes it as "sRNA HanXRQr2_Chr15g0679471". The record is from RNAcentral. Lineage: Eukaryota; Viridiplantae; Streptophyta; Magnoliopsida; Asterales; Asteraceae.